This is a long non-coding RNA of Oncorhynchus masou masou (cherry salmon), 730 nucleotides long. RefSeq lists it as uncharacterized. The transcript has 3 exons. NCBI's taxonomy places the organism in Eukaryota, Metazoa, Chordata, Actinopteri, Salmoniformes, Salmonidae. The record is from RefSeq and is a predicted model, not a curated record.
UUUCUCUGAAAGUCGGUUUUUGUUUGUAUUGGGAUGUCUAUAGAGUCGCGGGACAGUUUUUUUCCGGUAUCUCGCAAACACACUGUCUGCGGGGUCUCUAGUUGCUCAAUUGAGCGGGCUCCGAGCUGGGGUAGGACGUUUCACCUCUCAGGCCCCCGGCUUGUGCCGUGAGAGGGCAGAAUUAAACGUUUGAGAGAGUGGUGAAUAUACUGCUACAAAGGCAAACUUUUGCUUCAUAAAGAUGGUGAUACAGCAUUGAAAAAGACCCACCACAUCCCUCAGGCCAUCCAGUGCAUGGACAUCUUGUGCCAGUGUGAUCCAGCACGAGAGUCAGUUGUAGAGGCUACAGCCGAUCGAGCAUGCGGACGGACAGACAUGAGGCAUGACAUGCAGAAGAUCUUCAGGCUCCCCCCAUGAGAAGCAGUGCAUGAUGUUCAAUGCUACCCCCUUAAGGAGAUCUGGUGGAAGUAAUGGCUCUCCCAUUCUGAGAUGUAUUCUCUCUCUCUUGCUCUCUGUCUAGUUAAGCAGUCCAGAUGAUUUUCGUAGGGUGUGUCCAUAGGCCUAAUGGUAAAAUGCACAUGUGGGCGUACUUUAAGGGUACUCCGGGCAGAGAGAAAUUCAAUUAGUGAUGCUGUAGCCGAAAAAGGUUGGGAACUACUGCUCUAUGACAGACCACUCCUAAAAAGUAAAUUUUAAGAUUUGUCUCUGGAUGUCUCAACAAUAAAUAUGU